Non-coding RNA from Oreochromis niloticus (Nile tilapia), 47 nucleotides. The record is from Rfam. NCBI's taxonomy places the organism in Eukaryota, Metazoa, Chordata, Actinopteri, Cichliformes, Cichlidae.
UGCACGGCUUUAAUAAAAGCCAUAACAAACAUCCAUAAAACAUCCAU